UACGAAGGGGGCUAGCGUUUUUCGGAAUCACUGGGCGUAAAGCGCACGUAGGCGGACCGAUAAGUUGGGGGUGAAAGCCCAGGGCUCAACCCUGGAUAUGACUCCAAUACUGUCGGUCUCGAGUUCGGGAGAGGUGAGUGGAAUUCCUAGUGUAGAGGUGAAAUUCGUAGAUAUUAGGAAGAACACCAGUGGCGAAGGCGGCUCACUGGCCCGAUACUGACGCUGAGGUGCGAAAGCGUGGGGAGCAAACAGG
RNAcentral lists this ribosomal RNA (253 nucleotides) under uncultured bacterium. RNAcentral describes it as "partial 16S ribosomal RNA". It matches the Rfam family "Bacterial small subunit ribosomal RNA", at positions 524 to 776 of the family's 1533-position model. The record is from RNAcentral.